RNAcentral lists this ribosomal RNA (497 nucleotides) under uncultured bacterium. RNAcentral's name for it is "partial 16S ribosomal RNA". It matches the Rfam family "Bacterial small subunit ribosomal RNA", at positions 28 to 507 of the family's 1533-position model. The record is from RNAcentral.
GAUGAACGCUGGCGGCGUGCCUAAUACAUGCGAGUCGAGCGAACAGACGAGGAGCUUGCUCCUCUGACGUUAGCGGCGGACGGGUGAGUAACACGUGGAUAACCUACCUAUAAGACUGGGAUAACUUCGGGAAACCGGAGCUAAUACCGGAUAACAUGUUGAACCGCAUGGUUCAACAGUGAAAGACGGUCUUGCUGUCACUUAUAGAUGGAUCCGCGCCGCAUUAGCUAGUUGGUAAGGUAACGGCUUACCAAGGCAACGAUGCGUAGCCGACCUGAGAGGGUGAUCGGCCACACUGGAACUGAGACACGGUCCAGACUCCUACGGGAGGCAGCAGUAGGGAAUCUUCCGCAAUGGGCGAAGGCCUGACGGAGCAACGCCGCGUGAGUGAAGAAGGUCUUCGGAUCGUAAAACUCUGUUAUUAGGGAAGAACAAAUGUGUAAGUAACUAUGCACGUCUUGACGGUACCUAAUCAGAAAGCCACGGCUAACUACGUG